RNAcentral lists this ribosomal RNA (468 nucleotides) under uncultured bacterium. RNAcentral describes it as "partial 16S ribosomal RNA". It matches the Rfam family "Bacterial small subunit ribosomal RNA", at positions 28 to 507 of the family's 1533-position model. The record is from RNAcentral.
GACGAACGCUGGCGGCGUGCUUAACACAUGCAAGUCGAACGGAAAGGCCCUGCUUUUGUGGGGUGCUCGAGUGGCGAACGGGUGAGUAACACGUGAGUAACCUGCCCUUGACUGUGGGAUAACUUCAGGAAACUGGGGCUAAUACCGGAUAGGAGCUCCUGCUGCAUGGUGGGGGUUGGAAAGUUUCGGCGGUUGGGGAUGGACUCGCGGCUUAUCAGCUUGUUGGUGGGGUAGUGGCUUACCAAGGCUUUGACGGGUAGCCGGCCUGAGAGGGUGACCGGCCACAUUGGGACUGGGAUACGGCACAGACUCCUACGGGAGGCAGCUGUGGGGAAUAUUGCACAAUGGGCGGAAGCCUGAUGCAGCAACGCCGCGUGCGGGAUGACGGCCUUCGGGUUGUAUACCGCUUUCGCCUGUGACGAAGCGUGAGUGACGGUAAUGGGUAAAGAAGCACCGGCUAACUACGUG